This 326-nucleotide ribosomal RNA is filed under the name uncultured eukaryote. RNAcentral's name for it is "partial 18S ribosomal RNA". It matches the Rfam family "Eukaryotic small subunit ribosomal RNA", at positions 1470 to 1796 of the family's 1831-position model. The record is from RNAcentral.
CCCUUAGAUGUUCUGGGCUGCACGCGCGCUACACUGAUGCACUCAACGAGUUUACGACCUUGCCCGAUAGGGUUGGGUAAUCUUUUUAAAAUGCAUCGUGAUGGGGAUAGAUUAUUGCAAUUAUUAAUCUUCAACGAGGAAUUCCUAGUAAGCGCGAGUCAUCAGCUCGUGCUGAUUACGUCCCUGCCCUUUGUACACACCGCCCGUCGCUCCUACCGAUUGAGUGCUCAGGUGAAUAAUUCGGACUGCAGCAAUGUUUGGAUCCCGAACGUCGCAGCGGAAAGUUUAGUGAACCUUAUCACUUAGAGGAAGGAGAAGUCGUAACA